Pyrgilauda ruficollis (rufous-necked snowfinch) is the source of this 808-nucleotide long non-coding RNA. RefSeq lists it as uncharacterized. The transcript is spliced from 3 exons. The record is from RefSeq and is a predicted model, not a curated record. NCBI's taxonomy places the organism in Eukaryota, Metazoa, Chordata, Aves, Passeriformes, Passeridae.
UUGAGGAAAAUCUUAAAUUUAAAGGAGAUUAUGGGGUUUUAAACUCACUGGUUGGUUUGGCUUGUUUAGUGUUGAUGUCUUGCAGGAAUUAAAGGAUACCUAGGGGGAAAAGGAGCUCUGAAAAUGGCUAAAAAUGGAAUAAAGGCCAAGGUCCAUGUGCUCGGACCUUGGGAUGCCAAGGGAAAAGUGUGAAUGCCACCAGGGUCAAGACGUGGAGGGGGAUCCCUAAAAAGCAAGUUGUGUCAUAAUACAGCAACUUGGCUGGACAGAGCUCAAGGAGGUGUGGGGUGAGGCAGUCCUUAAAGCAGGAACCCCGUGGGAUCCCAUGGAAUUACUUGGGAACGUGGUAUUUUGGGGGGGUUUCCAGAAAAAAAAACCCAAACUUGACCAGGCUUUGCAGCAACUCCCUGGAAUCCCACUGAUGAGAGUGAGACACCAGGUAUUUUUAGGGUUAUUGUGAGGAGAUAAUUCUGGUUGCCCUACAAAAAGGAAUCCGUGGCUCCAGGUGAGGAUCAGAGCCAGCUCUCCAAACCAGAAGCGCCCUGGGAGGUCGGAUUCAGCUCCGAGGAGUUCUGGAUAAAACUGGGACGUUAUAAACUCCAUCCAUUCAAAGGAGCUGCUGUUCCAGAGGAAUUCAGAUAACCCCAAAUCUUGUGGUCUUGCUGCAGCACUUCCAGGGCUGAGAAGCAGAACUCUGGAUUUUUUUAUUUCCCCUCUAUUUGGGAGUCUCUGGAGCUUCUGAAAUAUGGAAGUUCCUCACCCAGAGCAAAAAAGGAUUGGAACAUGCAAAAAUUUGGAGGAAAACGGG